RNAcentral lists this ribosomal RNA (216 nucleotides) under Campeiostachys nutans. Its description in RNAcentral is "Elymus nutans partial small subunit ribosomal RNA". The stretch from base 40 to 216 matches the Rfam family "Eukaryotic small subunit ribosomal RNA", at positions 686 to 864 of the family's 1831-position model. Lineage: Eukaryota; Viridiplantae; Streptophyta; Magnoliopsida; Poales; Poaceae. The record is from RNAcentral.
GGGUUAGUAGGUUGGUCAUGCCUCUGGUAUGCACUGGUCUCACUGAUUCCUCCUUCCUGAUGAGCCGUAAUGCCAUUCAUUUGGUGUUUUGGGGAAUUUGGACUGUUACUUUGAAAAAAUUAGAGUGUUUAAAGCAAGCUAACGCUUGAAUACAUUAGCAUGGAAUAAUGAAAUAGGACGUUCGAUCCUAUUUUGUUGGUUUCUAGGACCGCCGUA